ACGGAGCUGCCCGGUGCGUCAGGUAAUUCAUCCCCAGGGCCAAUAAGCAACUCCCGGGAGCUGGCUCUGUCGUGAUCCUGGUCACGGUACCCGGCGCCCACCUGCUCACGCAGGCCUUGGGAGGAUGAGACGCCAACGGCCAUGGCGGCUCCACC
Molecule: non-coding RNA, 155 nt
Filed under: Limobrevibacterium gyesilva
Lineage: Bacteria; Pseudomonadati; Pseudomonadota; Alphaproteobacteria; Acetobacterales; Acetobacteraceae
Description: 6S / SsrS RNA
Rfam family: 6S / SsrS RNA
About the family: E. coli 6S RNA was the first non coding RNA to be sequenced, but its function was unknown until recently. It consists of 184 nucleotides that fold into an extended hairpin structure with a large single-stranded internal bulge. The 6S RNA specifically associates with RNA polymerase holoenzyme containing the sigma70 specificity factor.
Source: Rfam by way of RNAcentral